GAUGAACGCUGGCGGCGUGCCUAAUACAUGCAAGUCGAGCGAACAGAUGAGGAGCUUGCUCCUCUGACGUUAGCGGCGGACGGGUGAGUAACACGUGGAUAACCUACCUAUAAGACUGGGAUAACUUCGGGAAACCGGAGCUAAUACCGGAUAAUAUAUUGAACCGCAUGGUUCAAUAGUGAAAGACGGUUUUGCUGUCACUUAUAGAUGGAUCCGCGCCGCAUUAGCUAGUUGGUAAGGUAACGGCUUACCAGGGCAACGAUGCGUAGCCGACCUGAGAGGGUGAUCGGCCACACUGGAACUGAGACACGGUCCAGACUCCUACGGGAGGCAGCAGUAGGGAAUCUUCCGCAAUGGGCGAAAGCCUGACGGAGCAACGCCGCGUGAGUGAUGAAGGUCUUCGGAUCGUAAAACUCUGUUAUUGGGGAAGAACAAAUGUGUAAGUAACUAUGCACGUCUUGACGGUACCUAAUCAGAAAGCCACGGCUAACUACGUG
Molecule: ribosomal RNA, 497 nt
Filed under: uncultured bacterium
Lineage: Bacteria
Description: partial 16S ribosomal RNA
Rfam family: Bacterial small subunit ribosomal RNA
Source: RNAcentral